CACGUAGGCGGUUUGUUAAGUCUGAUGUUAAAGACUGGGGCUCAACCCCGGCAUGGCGUUGGAUACUGGCAGGCUUGACGGUUGGAGAGGCGAGUGGAAUUGCCAGUGUAGCGGUGGAAUGCGUAGAUACUGGUAGGAACACCUAUUGCGAAGGCAGCUCGCUGGACAGUUCGUGACGCUGAGGUGCGAAAGUGUGGGGAGCAAACC
Molecule: ribosomal RNA, 207 nt
Filed under: uncultured bacterium
Lineage: Bacteria
Description: partial 16S ribosomal RNA
Rfam family: Bacterial small subunit ribosomal RNA
Source: RNAcentral